AGAAUCAACGCUGGCGGCGUGCCUAACACAUGCAAGUCGAACGCGAAAGUCCCGAAAGGGAUUAGUAGAGUGGCAAACGGGUGAGUAACACGUGGGUGACCUGCCUUCGAGUGGGGGAUAACGUCCCGAAAGGGACGCUAAUACCGCAUAACAUCCUGCUUUUUAAGAGGUGGAGAUCAAAGCCGGGGAUCGCAAGACCUGGCGUUUGAAGAGGGGCCCGCGUCUGAUUAGCUAGUUGGUGAGGUAAUGGCCCACCAAGGCGACGAUCAGU
RNAcentral lists this ribosomal RNA (271 nucleotides) under uncultured bacterium. RNAcentral describes it as "partial small subunit ribosomal RNA". It matches the Rfam family "Bacterial small subunit ribosomal RNA", at positions 26 to 284 of the family's 1533-position model. The record is from RNAcentral.